RNAcentral lists this long non-coding RNA (631 nucleotides) under Homo sapiens (human). RNAcentral describes it as "HSALNT0390669". The record is from RNAcentral. Lineage: Eukaryota; Metazoa; Chordata; Mammalia; Primates; Hominidae.
GGCAACUGCGCUCAGGUCUCCUUCCGGUGUGUGGGUUGUUUGUUCUUUUGCUCUUCGCAGUAAAUUUUGCUGGUGCUCAGUCCUUGGGUCUGCACUACCUUUAUGAGCUGUAAGACUGACUGUGCAGGUCUGCGGCUUCAUUUCUGAAGUCAGCAAGACCAUGAACCCACCAGAAGGAAGAAACAAACUCUGGACACAUCUGAACAUCUGAAGGAAAAAAUUCCGGACACACCAUCUUUAAGAACUGUGACACUCACCGCAAGGGUCUGUGGCUUCAUUCUUGAAGCAAUGAGACGAAGAACCCACCAGAAGGAACCAAUUCCGGACACAUUUUGGCGACCACAAAGGGAAAAUCGACUAUCACCAAGCGCUUUUCAUUGUAAUGAUGUGAAUUAUUGCUGAACUGAUGACCUCAAACUCCUGCAAACAACUUGGAUAUCAGUGACCCCAUGAGAAUCUGUAAUAUCACUGGACAUGAAAAGAAGCCUGGUCCCUUCUACAACCAUGACAUAUAUUUGUAUUUAUGGUCCUCUGGAGAAUCUUGCCUUUUCCCACCAAUUUUUAUUUUACUCUAUCUAUAGUAUUGUAAUUUCAGAAGAAGAAAAUAAACUACAUUCCAUUCAUUGCCUGA